AGUAGGGGAAAAUUUUGGUUGCAAAGGGAUCACUAUAUUUGUUCUCACCAUGGAAGUGAAACCAGGACAAGUGGUAAUCCUGUUUUCCUGUUUAUGAAAUAUCUCACUUCCUUAGAUUCUUUUUGAGUUUUAUGGCUAUCUAUAGACGUGGAAAUUGAGCUGAAGCCAAACAGAUCUGGCCUUAUUUCCCAUGGGCCUGUGCACCACCAAUUUGGAUCUGAGAUCAGACAUAACCUUGCCAUAAGCAGCAAAGGGCUUGGUGAACCCUCAAAAAGGCUGUCAAACACCCAGAGGCCUUGGGGAUCAGGAAGGAGCUAUCAUGUGGUCUUUCAUAAAAAACUGGUUCACCCAUACCAAGCCUACACAUUUCAGCCCAUGAGGAUGGAGAAAAAGAAGAAAUUGAUGACAGAUUCUAUCAUCACAAAAGGAUGUGAUUUGGAAGUUGCAUGCAUCCAUUCAGAGCUUCUUGGCCAAAACAGUCAUAUUAACAAAACUAGCUGCCAACAUACUACAAAAUGAGCUAAGAGAGAAUUGUCCUGCCUGAUGGGCUUCAAACCACCAGAACAUCAGUUCUUCCUGGUUCUGCAGUAGUCUCCAACCUUCAGACUCAAACUUCAGCACCUGUUCUUCAGAUUUUGGACUUGCAGCCUCUAUAAUCACAUGAGCCAAUUCCUUAUAUAAAUUUAUUUAUACAUGCUGACAGUUGGUUCUGUUUCUCUGGAUAACCCUGACUGUUAGAGCUGUUACCUCAAAUUUGUUUUCUUAUAUUUGGUGUCUGUUUUGGAGUACUUACAAGUGCUUAAAAUGUUCUUUUUCAAUUAGGUCCUGUAGAACAUAGCUGCGCCUGGAAUUGAAUGAUCGUGUUUUCCGUGCAGAGCUAUCUGCCUUUGGACAGGAGGAGAACUCUCAGCACCAUUCCCUUUCCACGGGAGCUUCUUUUUUCUCAUUCUUUUUCUUGCCUCCCUCAACUCCCAUCCUCUGUUCUGGGAGAAGGUGAAGCUGGCCUGACAGGCCUGAGGGAAGCCGGACGGAGGCACACUUGCCAGCUUUUAGUUGAGGGAGGCACCGCAGCAAGGCUCUCCAGUCCCUCCUUCCCUGGGAGCACCAGCUCUGAUUCUAGUGGGCAGCUGCAGCUAAGACGAAGACAAAUGAAUCCAGAGACUUCUCUCGAGCUAUGAGCCUGAGCCAAAGGCACAGCCCAGCUGUCCAGAGAGCUUUGUGACAGAACAUGGGGGGCCAGCUGACAGGAACCGAGGCACUUUUAAAUUUAGCACUUGUCCUCGCCCUUUCGGUUCACGAUUUCUUGGAAGUUUCAUUUGGAAAAAGAGGUGAGGGACAGAAGUAGAAGUUGGGAAUUCUAGAUCCCUUGAUUCUAGAAUAUUCUAAGAUCUUCCAAACUAACCCUGAUUCCUAAAAACAGAAUAGGACAAUCUUGUUUUCGGUAUUGAGAAUAGCAAAUAUAGAAAUCCCUUAAUUCUUUGACUUAGCUUAGCAGGUGCAAUUAGUUCUAUCCCUAAGCCUUCUUACCAGAAAAUUUUCUAGUGUAAAAUGAUUGGAUGGGAUACCAAUUGGGAUGGGUGUGGUAAUAGUAAAACCAUAUUCUUUAAUAACUUUUUCUUAUUUGUUUUCCUGGAAUUUUGGUUGGCAUUUUUUAAUGAAUUACAUGCUUAUUUUUAAAAAUUAUUAUGAUGGAGAAUUUUUGUUAGGCAGAAUUUCAAAUCUGUCAUCUGCUGUUGACUCUUACUUUCACUACAAAUUUACGAAGGUAGAGAGACCCAGUUCUUACUUAAGUUAUAUCUAACAUAAAAAUACAAUUCUGUCCCAAUCUGUUCAUUUAAAGGGUAAAUUUAUAGCAUCUGUUCAACUUUAUAUGCUAUCUCAAAAUUGUCAACAUUUUAAGCAAGGUGCUACCUAAUUUUAAUGGGUGCACAAGAGGGAAAAGUGGGUCAUUGACUUCAAAGGCGAAACUAUAAGCUAUUAAUGGGCUACGUUGUGCUGAAUUACAAUCUCUUUUCUUGUUUCAAGUUAAAAUUUUUAAGUGGCCACAUGUUUGGCAUUGUAAUUGAUACCACAAUGCUGCUGUUCCUUGACUCAUUCAUUCUCAAAUGUAUAUAUAUAUAUAUUCUUAGUUCACAAAUUUCUAUUUCUUUUACACAAGUUGCUAUUUCUUGUAGUGUUCAUGAACUGGGUAUGCUGUCCUUUGUAAUGAAAGACUACAGACUGCCAUGAAUAGUACCUUGGCUUCUUUUUUUACAGUGUGGAAUGAGAGCAUUUAUUAUUGUUGCAUUAUUGUAUUUUUGAAUAAAAAUCCCUAUUCCCACUGUACCAAA
RNAcentral lists this long non-coding RNA (2330 nucleotides) under Homo sapiens (human). Its description in RNAcentral is "HSALNT0348403". The record is from RNAcentral. Lineage: Eukaryota; Metazoa; Chordata; Mammalia; Primates; Hominidae.